GGGAGCUUAGAUGUGGAAGCUCUUUGGAAACCAAGAAACACUCUGCAAAUGAAAAGGGAAGCAGAAGUUCUCCUUAGCUGAUUUUUCUUCUUGCCUUAUACUGGGUUCUUUAACACCAGAACAAAAAUAAAUAAAUAAAAGAAUCUUCCAGAAAUUCAUGAAGAGACUUCAGGUCAGGAAAGCCUGAACUUUCUCAUCCAACACCUGUUCAAGUCGGAGGAUGCUGAUUAAUUCAUGAUGGAAAGGUAUCAAUUUCACAGCCCAGACCUCUACAUUCUUGAAAUGCUCUUCUCAUGGGAGACAUUAAAUAAGCUUUGAAUUAACUGAAGAACCAAUGAUGUGAUCCCUGGAUACUGGCAAUUGUUGCCCAAGAAACCCUCUCCCCUUGCUAUGGGAGUGCUGGGCACCCAAAUAAUGCACCCAAAUAAUUUGAUAGCUCUUGUUACACAACUCUUCUUGGACUAAAAGGCCCUCAGCAUUCCUGUCAAUUUCUACACUCCUGAAGCUUCAUCUGGAGACCUCUGUGGAUUCUAUAACUCAAAGACCCAGGCUGACGGCUGGUGGAAUAGCUACCAUCUCAAAC
RNAcentral lists this non-coding RNA (583 nucleotides) under Pan troglodytes (chimpanzee). Lineage: Eukaryota; Metazoa; Chordata; Mammalia; Primates; Hominidae. The record is from RNAcentral.